GGCCUAACACAUGCAAGUCGAGCGGAAACGACACUAACAAUCCUUCGGGUGCGUUAAUGGGCGUCGAGCGGCGGACGGGUGAGUAAUGCCUAGGAAAUUGCCUUGAUGUGGGGGAUAACCAUUGGAAACGAUGGCUAAUACCGCAUGAUGCCUACGGGCCAAAGAGGGGGACCUUCGGGCCUCUCGCGUCAAGAUAUGCCUAGGUGGGAUUAGCUAGUUGGUGAGGUAAUGGCUCACCAAGGCGACGAUCCCUAGCUGGUCUGAGAGGAUGAUCAGCCACACUGGAACUGAGACACGGUCCAGACUCCUACGGGAGGCAGCAGUGGGGAAUAUUGCACAAUGGGCGAAAGCCUGAUGCAGCCAUGCCGCGUGUAUGAAGAAGGCCUUCGGGUUGUAAAGUACUUUCAGUUGUGAGGAAGGGUGUGUAGUUAAUAGCUGCGCAUCUUGACGUUAGCAACAGAAGAAGCACCGGCUAACUCCGUGCCAGCAGCCGCGGUAAUACGGAGGGUGCGAGCGUUAAUCGGAAUUACUGGGCGUAAAGCGCAUGCAGGUGGUUCAUUAAGUCAGAUGUGAAAGCCCGGGGCUCAACCUCGGAACUGCAUUUGAAACUGGUGAACUAGAGUACUGUAGAGGGGGGUAGAAUUUCAGGUGUAGCGGUGAAAUGCGUAGAGAUCUGAAGGAAUACCAGUGGCGAAGGCGGCCCCCUGGACAGAUACUGACACUCAGAUGCGAAAGCGUGGGGAGCAAACAGGAUUAAAUACCCUGGU
This 767-nucleotide ribosomal RNA is filed under the name Vibrio sp. AOH-29. Its description in RNAcentral is "bacterial SSU rRNA". It matches the Rfam family "Bacterial small subunit ribosomal RNA", at positions 45 to 791 of the family's 1533-position model. Lineage: Bacteria; Pseudomonadati; Pseudomonadota; Gammaproteobacteria; Vibrionales; Vibrionaceae. The record is from RNAcentral.